This 255-nucleotide ribosomal RNA is filed under the name uncultured bacterium. Its description in RNAcentral is "partial 16S ribosomal RNA". It matches the Rfam family "Bacterial small subunit ribosomal RNA", at positions 524 to 776 of the family's 1533-position model. The record is from RNAcentral.
UACAGAGGUCCCGAGCGUUGUUCGGAUUCACUGGGCGUAAAGGGUGCGUAGGUGGUCAGGUAAGUCGGAUGUGAAAUCUCCGAGCUCAACUCGGAAACUGCAUUGGAAACUACCUGGCUCGAGGGUUGGAGGGGGGGGACUGGAAUGCUUGGUGUAGCAGUGAAAUGCGUAGAUAUCAAGCGGAACACCAGUGGCGAAGGCGAGUCCCUGGACAACUCCUGACACUGAUGCACGAAAGCUAGGGGAGCAAACAGG